Molecule: long non-coding RNA, 2179 nt
Filed under: Daphnia pulex (common water flea)
Lineage: Eukaryota; Metazoa; Arthropoda; Branchiopoda; Diplostraca; Daphniidae
Description: uncharacterized LOC124191210, transcript variant X3
Source: RNAcentral
UGCGUCUACACAGUCUACGUCCAGUCCGGGUAAUCAUUAAUCACUAAUCAGAUGAUUAGGCCAGCAUGCAGUGCAGUGCAGUGCACCCAUCUCUAUAAAUCAAUCAAUAAAGAAUCAUAGCAUUCAAUUGUGGUUGUUGAAGUUUUUCAAGUUUGUUUUCAAAAGGUGGGGUUAGAAUAUUUUUCUCAAGGUUGGGGCAUUGGUUGGGGUUGGAAUUUCCUUAUGGCGACGUGUGGUAAAUUUUUUUCUAUGUUUUAUCAAUAUUUAUUAUUACAAGUGGUUGUUGAAGGUUGUUAAGAUUUUUGUUAUAAGGUAGGGUUAGAAUUUUUUGUUCAAAAGGUUGGGGCAUGGGUUGGGGUUAGAAUUUUUGUCAAAAGGUAGGGUUAAAAUUCGUCCACCAGAGGGGUUUGGUGUUGCAGUCAGUACAAAGUGUCAGUGUCAGUAGUUAACUGCACUGUAGAACUGGGACGCUGGCACGCUGCACGGUCAUUUUCAGUUCGGCUACGUGUUAGUCAUUUCAGCGGAGCGAACCUCAACGUUUGGCAUCGUGAAGAUAGAAAGUCCCACUCCCAGCGAGUCGUCUGACCAUGUGUCCUGAAAGUGAUGUCCGUAUGCUCAAAUGUCGUCUCGUACUAGAAAGUAGAAACUUGAAUGGAAUGUGCAUCAUAUCUUGCCGAGUUGGUGUCCCUAGAAGGGAUAUGAUUGCUACUGAGAGGUCUGAAAGCUUACAAUAUAUACUUGUCAACUCCAUGUGUUGUUGUGGAGUGCUCUCCAAUUUCUGAAGACUUUCACUGCAUGUUGAGAUGUUUUGUUGCAUGGAGAAGUACUUUUACUUUGAAUUGGUAUAUUAAUUCAAGCUGUUGAAUGAUGGUGUUUGCUGCUCGAUGUGAAGAUGGUGAAAGGAGUGCUUGACUCGGGAUAAGCUGCCAUUGUUUCUGGUGAUGGUGAAUCUACAUUGCUAACAGUCUUCUUUGGACAUGUCAUGGCUUGCUUGUCUUUCCUUCCGAGACGUUGUUGGAUAACGUUCACCUCAGUCAUUGUAAUUCCAUCUGAUCAUUCGAUUUGCCUUCCCAAAAUGUCGUCUCUUGCUGUAUGUUGCAUGUUUCGUCAAAAGAUGAGUUAUUUUCUCGCCAUUCGCCUAAGCUGAACCGAUAGUGAACCAAUUUAAAAUUUCCUUUUCUCCACAAUGUGGUCGCUGUCGUGCCAUUAAGACGGUCUUCGUGAGGGUCUACUAUGUUGCAACUUGCAAGACAAAUGUGUUGAAAGGAGGGAAUCUGUUAAGUAAUGCACUUGGCUUCUGCAGACAUCCACUAAAGUUGACAAUUGGAAAAGUAUCUAUCCAUCUGUGUGUAUAUAUAUAGUACUUACCUAAUAAUCUGAUCACUUGGGCCUCAACUGCAGUCCAUUUGGCUGAAAUGUUGUCCAUUGUUACCUAUAUGGAUUGAUUGUGAAAGAUUACUUUUCUUAUCUGCCGAAGAACUUGAGGACAUGGCAAAGGCUGAACUUCAUUACUGUCAUGCAGCAUGCAGGUGAUUUUGUUGCAGCCAGCUGGUGAAAGAGAGUUCAAGUCAAGUUGGUUUAACUGAAGCUUCUCAAUGUAGUCUACAUUGCUGGUGUCAUCCCAAAGAGGGGUAGUGUUACUUGAAGUGUAACAGCAACAAAGACAUCUUGAAAAGGAUUUGGUGACAAUGUAAAGGGUCAAUCUACUGCAUGCAUUUCGUGAAGCUGGUGUUAUCCAUAGGGGCGACUAGGAGUAUAGAUGCAAGAAAACCUCAAGAAAUGGAGUUGGUGGAAAUGGAAAGUGGUUUUGCUGUCUGGUUUCUGUUCAAGCUGUUAUGCUGUAUCUGCUGAAAUCCAAGUAGCUGAUGCUGAUGUUAUCCUACAGUUGGUUUUCCAGUGGAAUCUUGGUUGUCUACUAAAAUAUUUUGUCUUAUUUGUUUUCAUCUGUGUAGUGUAUAAUUCAAAAGAUUUGAUAUUUAGGUUUUCAAUGUGGUAUGUUGCAACUUAUGUUGGUGAAAGUUCUUUGUGCGGUUGUCUUCGUUGUCUUAAAGCAAUUUUUCAAUUAUUUACUUCAUAUCAGAAACCUAAACCUGAAAUUACUUGUUUAAUUUUGUAAACUUAAUUGCUGUUUCAUCAAAUCAUGUAUAAAACUCGUUAAAUAUACAGUUAUUCGUUCAAA